UACACAGCCAUAUCACUGUGCAGCCCGAGAGCGGUCACUUACUGAAGCUGAGCAGGGCUGAGGCUGGUCAGUGUCUGGAUGGGAGACCACAUGGGAACACUAGGCUGCUGUUGUCA
This 116-nucleotide ribosomal RNA is filed under the name Danio rerio (zebrafish). The record is from RNAcentral. Lineage: Eukaryota; Metazoa; Chordata; Actinopteri; Cypriniformes; Danionidae.